UACGUAGGGGGCAAGCGUUAUCCGGAUUUACUGGGUGUAAAGGGAGCGUAGACGGCACGGCAAGCCAGAUGUGAAAGCCCGGGGCUCAACCCCGGGAUUGCAUUUGGAACUGCUGAGCUAGAGUGUCGGAGAGGCAAGUGGAAUUCCUAGUGUAGCGGUGAAAUGCGUAGAUAUUAGGAGGAACACCAGUGGCGAAGGCGGCUUGCUGGACGAUGACUGACGUUGAGGCUCGAAAGCGUGGGGAGCAAACAGG
RNAcentral lists this ribosomal RNA (253 nucleotides) under Dorea longicatena. Its description in RNAcentral is "partial 16S ribosomal RNA". It matches the Rfam family "Bacterial small subunit ribosomal RNA", at positions 524 to 776 of the family's 1533-position model. The record is from RNAcentral. Lineage: Bacteria; Bacillati; Bacillota; Clostridia; Lachnospirales; Lachnospiraceae.